Molecule: RNA transcript, 858 nt
Organism: Carya illinoinensis
Lineage: Eukaryota; Viridiplantae; Streptophyta; Magnoliopsida; Fagales; Juglandaceae
Exons: 3
Source: RefSeq, a predicted model, not a curated record
GGAAUGCAAGUCUAAAAUUUAGACUUUUGUGGAUAUUUUACUCUGCAUCAGAUUGGCUAUAUAAUAAAAAUUUCAGACUUCAACUACAGUAAGUCUUAUAGUCCCUCGUCAAGUAUGGUGAGCCACUGUUUGCUCUGGAUAAUAAUAUUUUAUUAUUUCAUCAAAUCUCUGCCUACUCUUUCCCUCGUUCUUUUCUCUUUCUUCAAGCCUGAGCAACCUCGCGCUCUUCUCUCCCUUGCUCUUCUUCAACCCGCAAGCUUCCUCGUUUAUCAUUCUGCAUCUCCAUCGAUCGCCUUCUUCCCUGUCUUCUUCCAGGCAACCACGAUUAAACAGAGUUGUCGUCGUGGUUUUGCAACUCCCGCAAUGGCUUCUCUCAGAAAACCCUAGCGACACGACCGAGCUCUGCCAAAUCCAUCCUGCCUCUCUUGUUUCAUUUUGACCAGAAUAGAAAAGUAAACAUGCGCAUGCAUGAAGGUUGGUUUAUGCUGAUUUUUAUGUCUUGUGGGUUUUCUGGUGCGAAUGCAGUACUGAGUUUUAUGGGCAUUACAAGUGCACAGGACCAGGAGCUAGCUUUAGCAGGAAGAGUGUCAUGGUCCAGGGAACUUACUGACAAGGAAGCCGAGCCUUUUAUUUCACUUAGCUUCAUUGAUGAGUCUGAAUGGAUUAAGUUGUAAUUAAUCCACAAUUUUUGUCUUUCUUUUUAACAAUUAUUGAUCAUCUCUGUAAAAGUCUUGAUAUUUUAUUAUUUAGAAGUGAAAGUAAUAGAUAGUUUUUGUAUAUAGUUUUGAUAAGUAGUUUUUGUACAUAUCUAACAUCUUGUUGAAAAUAUAUUUAAAGAAAUAUUGGUAUGUUUGUAUA